Transfer RNA from Lacimicrobium alkaliphilum, 74 nucleotides. It matches the Rfam family "tRNA". From Rfam's summary of the family: Transfer RNA (tRNA) molecules are approximately 80 nucleotides in length. Their secondary structure includes four short double-helical elements and three loops (D, anti-codon, and T loops). NCBI's taxonomy places the organism in Bacteria, Pseudomonadati, Pseudomonadota, Gammaproteobacteria, Alteromonadales, Alteromonadaceae. The record is from Rfam.
GCGCCCGUAGCUCAGCUGGAUAGAGCAACGGCCUUCUAAGCCGUGGGUCGCAGGUUCGAAUCCUGCCGGGCGCG